CGUACCGAUGUGCGCAUGCUCGCAUUGAGGCACAGGUAACGAAGGAGCCUGUUGUUCACAUCCUGCCAGCAACAGGGGAGGACUGCCAACAGCCCAGGAGCUCAUUCCAGAGCCACACAGACGCACACAUGCUCACCAUGUCAGCUCUGUAGUAGCAGUAAAGAGCAAGAGGAAGCAAAAGCAUCUGUUUGGAGCUGCUUAAGGUCACACCGGGAUGGUACCUGCUAGAGGCCGGACCCCAGGCUAGCUUCUAGUCAUGCAGAAGGAGGGAAGCAACUUUCCAUCCGAUCAAUGUGUGCUCUGAAAACAAAGAGGCUGUUUGGGAACCCAGACUGAAAGCAACACUCUAUCAUGGGAAGCCAUGGCGAACACGUGAUGUUUGAGCCGGAGGACAGGAGGCCAUGACGAGCAUGUGAUGUGGGAGCCCGUGAGAGGACCGGCAGUGGGAAGGGAAGAGCUCACGAGUGGUGAGCAUGUGGUCUGGGGAAAGAGAGGGAGGACACAGGAUGCAAGAGUCUGAGGGAAAACCAAUUCUGAUGGAGCUUAGAAAGCAGAGGAGAAAAGGCAGUCCCAUCAAGUAGGAGGCCUUCCUCAGUUUUGCAGCUGGAAUUGGACUCUCUGAGAUUUCCCUCCAGUUCACAGGUAAAUGUGUGAUGUUUAUAAUGUUACCUAAGGGAAACAUCUACUCCAGCCUCACCCCUGAUGGGCUGAUUCCUUACCCAGGAACUUUUCUGACUCAGACUCAGGGACGUUCCUUAGGGCACUGUGGACAAGAGGAUCCUUUCACAGCCCAGAGACCAAGUGAAAAAUGUGCCUGGGCUCCAGCCAUACUGCAACACUGGCCUGAGUUCAAUAACUAAAGCCCCCAUAAUUGAAACGAAACACAAGCAAACAAAUCGUAUGUUGUAACUCGGUAGGAACAAAUUGUGUGGGCGUGGGCUUAGUUCAAGUCUUAUUGUUUAGCAUUUUGUAAUUAACUCAUGUGGCCCUCACCCUGUGCACAGAAGUUAUUUGGCUGCUAACUUUGGGGGUGUUCUUCCCGGACUUUCCCUUCAAGGUUACUCUCUCAGGAGAUUGAAAACAGCCAGUCAGUCUUCGGCCUGCCUUCCGUGCUCCUCCACCUGCCCUCUGUGCUCCCCCACCUGCCUUCCGUGCUCCUCCACCUGCCCUCUGUGCUCCCCCACCUGCCUCUGUGCUCCCCCACCUGCCUUCCAUGCUCCUCCACCUGCCCUCUGUGCUCC
Molecule: long non-coding RNA, 1241 nt
Organism: Mus musculus (house mouse)
Lineage: Eukaryota; Metazoa; Chordata; Mammalia; Rodentia; Muridae
Product: predicted gene, 33019
Exons: 3
Source: RefSeq, a predicted model, not a curated record